This is a long non-coding RNA of Corythoichthys intestinalis (scribbled pipefish), 1741 nucleotides long. RefSeq lists it as uncharacterized. The record is from RefSeq and is a predicted model, not a curated record. Lineage: Eukaryota; Metazoa; Chordata; Actinopteri; Syngnathiformes; Syngnathidae. The transcript is spliced from 4 exons.
AACAAAAGUAGUAGAAGAAGAAUUCAACCACGUUAUUGAGGAAGUAAACGUAUUGAACUCCAGACAAGGACUGCUGGCAACGCAUGUCAAAAUGCCGUAACACGCAAACCAACCUCGGAUCAGCGUGCGAAGAUGGAUGGAUGGAUGGACGGACGGACGAUCACAAAAUUCCCUAGGUUUGAAACAUCUUAUGGGCUUGAUGGGCGAAAGAAGAACCCUCCUGGUCUCCAGCUGUUCGCCAGUCCACCGGUGGAACGCUAAUUUGGCCCCGCGGUGCUGUCGAGCGGCCGACUGAAGAGUGUCCAGAUAACAUUAUCUCCUGACCGACUGGCGCGCCUGCAUCCCCUACCUCAUCCCAAAGAUGCACUAUGCCUGAGAGGAAACAGGUCCAGAGGGUCAUUAACACCACCCAGAGACUGACUGGCUGCCCUCUUACACCUUUGGAGGACAUCUGCAGCACAUUCAGGAGAGUAUGCUGCAUCAUCAGGAACUCUCACCCAGCUACCAACUCUUCUAGCUCUGUCCCUCAGACUGACCUUUCAGGGCAAUUCAAUCUAGAUCAAACAGACUAAACAUUUUCUACCUCAAAGCUGUUAUUGAACCUUGUAUGGUAAUACACAGUAACAAAAUCACACCCUGCUGUUGUGCUCUGUAUCGGUACCCACUGUUUCCACUAUUCAUUUGCACUAUUUCAUUUAUUUUCAUAUAUCUAUUAUUCAUUUACCUGUACAGUUUGGUUGCUUGCACUGUCCUUGAGAGCUGCUAUUUGUACAUUAUUUUGUCAGUAAAGGAAUCCUGAUUCUGUUAUACAGUGAGCCAUGUUGAUGUGUGGUAAAACUGAGAGUUUUGGAGAAAUAUACUGUACGAUACAGAUCGUCCUUACGUGAUUUCGACUUUAUGACGCUGGAGUCUGGUCUGCCAUUUUGUCUCCAGUCGUUUUUUUUCUCCACGUAAAACCCCUUUCAGUCGUAACAAGCCGCCGGUCGUCGGCCGAGUGGCAUUCUUGGUGGACAAGAAGCAUUGUCAGUCACAAAAUGCAAGCCACCUCCGUAUUAAAACGUGUGCCAUGAUCCCAAUAUUUGACAUAAUACAAAACACGAUGUUUACUCACUUCCUUGUAAGUCCAAUGGUCCCACAGUUGCCGCACACUUGUCAUGGCCGAUCUCGGGGUGAACGGGAGCUUUCUGAAACCCAAAAAGGCUCACACACCUCUCCCUGGGGCAGCUACAAAAGCCUGCAGCCGUUUGGCUGGCGUGAUGCGAAAAAUAAACGAAUUAAUCCGCAAAAUCAGCUGAAUCUGCAGUCCAUCUGCAUGCUAUAAAGCAAUGCUAAGUUGUGAGAUGCUAACCCGGGUGACAUCACAUUCGCAUUCGUCCUAAACCCAAGACUGGAGGCGGAAAUUACACAUUUUCAUGGCGCGAAAUUCAAAAAUUGAAUAUAUAAAACAGUCCCUUCAACACGCAUCCAAGCGGUUCAUCUCAUUCAGGAGCAUAAAACACAGCGUGAAAUAUGAAAUAAACAUGCUUUUUGGUGUAAGUCCGACUUUAGCAAAAAUUCGGGUUAAGUUGCCAACGUAGGAACAGAACUCGUUCGAAACCUGGGAACUACUUGUAGUUUUCGUGAAUAUUCUAAAUUAACUUACUUUGGAAUGAUUUGGAAGACCAUUUACUAUUAUUACUCAAGUGCUGUGUUACGUUGUUGACGCGCAUUCCAGUUUGUGUUAAAAUAUUUGUUACGUCAC